UCCCCGGUAGUAUAGUGGUUAGUAUUUCCGCCUGUCACGCGGGAGACUGGGGGUCAAUUCCCCGCCGAGGAU
This 72-nucleotide transfer RNA is filed under the name Pyronema omphalodes CBS 100304. Its description in RNAcentral is "tRNA-Asp". It matches the Rfam family "tRNA". Rfam says of the family: Transfer RNA (tRNA) molecules are approximately 80 nucleotides in length. Their secondary structure includes four short double-helical elements and three loops (D, anti-codon, and T loops). Further hydrogen bonds mediate the characteristic L-shaped molecular structure. tRNAs have two regions of fundamental functional importance: the anti-codon, which is responsible for specific mRNA codon recognition, and the 3' end, to which the tRNAs corresponding amino acid is attached (by aminoacyl-tRNA synthetases). tRNAs cope with the degeneracy of the genetic code in two manners: having more than one tRNA (with a specific anti-codon) for a particular amino acid; and 'wobble' base-pairing, i.e. permitting non-standard base-pairing at the 3rd anti-codon position. Lineage: Eukaryota; Fungi; Ascomycota; Pezizomycetes; Pezizales; Pyronemataceae. The record is from RNAcentral.